AGAGUGAACGCUGGCGGCAGGCCUAACACAUGCAAGUCGAGCGGCAGCACAGCAGUAGCAAUACUGUGGGUGGCGAGCGGCGGACGGGUGAGGAACACAUCGGAAUCUACCUUCUUGUGGGGGAUAACGUAGGGAAACUUACGCUAAUACCGCAUAAGACCUGAGGGUGAAAGCGGGGGACCGCAAGGCCUCGCGCGAGAAGAUGAGCCGAUGUCCGAUUAGCUAGUUGGUGAGGUAAAGGCUCACCAAGGCGACGAUCGGUAGCUGGUCUGAGAGGAUGAUCAGCCACACUGGAACUGAGACACGGUCCAGACUCCGUACGGGAGCAGCGAGGUGGGGAAUAGUGGACAAGUCGGGCGCAAGCCUAGACUCCAGCCAUCGGCCGACGUGUGGUAGAAACGGUAGGUCCCGUUAGGGUU
RNAcentral lists this ribosomal RNA (419 nucleotides) under uncultured soil bacterium. Its description in RNAcentral is "bacterial SSU rRNA". It matches the Rfam family "Bacterial small subunit ribosomal RNA", at positions 26 to 442 of the family's 1533-position model. The record is from RNAcentral.